GUUAGCACUCUAGGCGCCAUCAACGCGUGAUUUUAAAAUGGUGGGCGCGUUUCAGUUGCGGUUGAUGAACAGAAACUUUUCUUACGUUUUCUGAUUGUGAAAAAACGGAUUGUGCUGUAUUUAUUCUAAUAAUAUGUUGCGUAGGUUUAAUGUAUUGUGUGUGCAGUGGCUGAAAGUGGCAAGCCGAGGCGUACUACAACUGGACAGGAUAUCAUGCAUCGACACAAUGGGAACUGUGCCUGGCAGACAGAAGGCCACCACUCGUAGCAGUUCUGGCAUACCCUCAAGUGGCCACAACAUGCCUGUUACCCACAACAAGACAGUGCUGCUUGCCCCUCAUUCAUGAAUAUGGCCAAAGGACGAG
Cryptotermes secundus is the source of this 364-nucleotide long non-coding RNA. RefSeq lists it as uncharacterized. Lineage: Eukaryota; Metazoa; Arthropoda; Insecta; Blattodea; Kalotermitidae. The record is from RefSeq and is a predicted model, not a curated record. The transcript is spliced from 3 exons.